UGCGUAGGCGGUCUUUCAAGCCAGAAGUGAAAGGCUACGGCUCAACCGUAGUAAGCUUUUUGGAACUGUAAGACUUGAGUGCAGGAGAGGAGAGUGGAAUUCCUAGUGUAGCGGUGAAAUGCGUAGAUAUUAGGAGGAACACCAGUAGCGAAGGCGGCUCUCUGGACUGUAACUGACGCUGAGGCACGAAAGCGUGGGGAGCAAACA
This 207-nucleotide ribosomal RNA is filed under the name uncultured Clostridium sp. RNAcentral describes it as "partial 16S ribosomal RNA". It matches the Rfam family "Bacterial small subunit ribosomal RNA", at positions 568 to 774 of the family's 1533-position model. Lineage: Bacteria; Bacillati; Bacillota; Clostridia; Eubacteriales; Clostridiaceae. The record is from RNAcentral.